AUUUUCCGCAAUGGGCGAAAGCCUGACGGAGUGACGCCGCGUGGGGGACGAAGGCCUUCGGGUCGUAAACCCCUGUCAGAGGGAAAGAAGGGUGUCGGCGUGAAUAGCGCCGGCAUUUGACGGUACCUUCAGAGGAAGCCCCGGCCAACUCUGUGCCAGCAGCCGCGGUAAUACGGAGGGUGCGAGCGUUGUCCGGAAUCACUGGGCGUAAAGGGCGCGUAGGCGGCCUGAUAAGUAGGGGGUGAAAUCCUGCGGCUUAACCGCAGGGCUGCCUUCUAAACUGUCGGGCUAGAGCACGGUGGAGGCAGAUGGAAUUCCCGGUGUAGCGGUGGAAUGCGUAGAGAUCGGGAAGAACAUCAGUGGCGAAGGCGGCCUGCUGGGCAGUAUGGCUGACACUGAGGCGCGACAGCGUGGGGAGCAAAC
RNAcentral lists this ribosomal RNA (423 nucleotides) under uncultured bacterium. RNAcentral describes it as "bacterial SSU rRNA". It matches the Rfam family "Bacterial small subunit ribosomal RNA", at positions 361 to 773 of the family's 1533-position model. The record is from RNAcentral.